GACGUAGGGCGCGAGCGUUGUCCGGAUUUAUUGGGCGUAAAGAGCUCGUAGGCGGCUUGUCGCGUCGAAUGUGAAAACCCACGGCUCAACUGUGGGCUUGCAUUCGAUACGGGCAGGCUAGAGUUCGGUAGGGGAGACGUGGAAUUCCUGGUGUAGCGGUGAAAUGACGCAGAUAUCAGGAGGAACACCGGUGGCGAAGGCGGGUCUCUGGGCCGAUACUGACGCUGAGGAGCGAAAGCGUGGGGAGCGAACAGG
Molecule: ribosomal RNA, 255 nt
Filed under: uncultured bacterium
Lineage: Bacteria
Description: partial 16S ribosomal RNA
Rfam family: Bacterial small subunit ribosomal RNA
Source: RNAcentral